CCUACGGGAGGCAGCAGUGGGGGAUAUUGCACAAUGGGGGAAACCCUGAUGCAGCAACGCCGCGUGAGCGAUGAAGGAUUUCGGAUUGUAAAGCUCUAUCCGCAGGGAAGAAAAUGACGGUACCUGAGUAAGAAGCCCCGGCUAACUACGUGCCAGCAGCCGCGGUAAUACGUAGGGAGCAAGCGUUAUCCGGAUUUACUGGGUGUAAAGGGAGCGUAGACGGUCAUGCAAGCCAGAUGUGAAAGCCCGGGGCUCAACCCCGGGACUGCAUUUGGAACUGUAAGGCUAGAGUGUCGGAGAGGCAGGCGGAAUUCCUAGUGUAGCGGUGAAAUGCGUAGAUAUUAGGAGGAACACCAGUGGCGAAGGCGGCCUGCUGGGCGAUGACUGACGUUGAGGCUCGAAAGCGUGGGGAGCAAACAGGAUUAGAUACCCCUGUAGUC
Molecule: ribosomal RNA, 440 nt
Filed under: uncultured bacterium
Lineage: Bacteria
Description: partial 16S ribosomal RNA
Rfam family: Bacterial small subunit ribosomal RNA
Source: RNAcentral